This is an RNA transcript of Mandrillus leucophaeus (drill), 1865 nucleotides long. It is a transcript of the gene named sin3 histone deacetylase corepressor complex component SDS3 pseudogene, with no coding region annotated. NCBI's taxonomy places the organism in Eukaryota, Metazoa, Chordata, Mammalia, Primates, Cercopithecidae. The record is from RefSeq and is a predicted model, not a curated record. The transcript has a single exon.
GGAGGUCGGCAGAGACCGGGAAGGGUUCGCUGUGACUCCCGCUUCUCGAGUUGGGGGCUCCGUUGGACGCUGCUAGGCAGACAGCGAGUACUGAGGGCGGGUGACCGCGGUGUUCCUGGGCCUAACCAUGUCUCUAACCAUGCUCAACUGCGGUUAGAGACGACAUGAGUGCCGCGGGGCUGCUGGCCCCGGCCUCGGCCCAGGCUGAAGCGCCGCCAGCCCCCGAGUACUACCCAGAGGAGGACGAAGAGCUGGAGAGCGCCGAGGACGAGCGCAGCUGUCCGGGCCGCGAGUCGGACGAAGACACUGAGGAUAGUGAAACUGACCUGGCAAAGCAUGAUGAAGAAGACUAUGUAGAAAUGAAGGAACAGAUGUAUCAGGACAAACUGGCUUCUCUCAAGAGGCAGUUGCAACAACCACAAGAAGGUACAUUACAGGAAUAUCAGAAAAGAAUGAAAAAACUAGAUCAGCGGUACAAAGAGAGGAUACGGAAUGCAGAACUCUUCCUCCAGCUGGAAACUGAACAAGUGGAACGAAAUUACAUUAAAGAAAAGAAGGCGGCAGUGAAAGAAUUUAAAGACAAGAAGGUUGAGCUGAAAGAGAACCUGAUUGCUGAGCUAGAAGAAAAGAAGAAAAUGAUCGAAAAUGAAAAGCUGACAAUGAACUGACUGGAGAUUCUAUGGAGGUGAAACCUAUCAUGACCAGAAAGUUGCAGAGGCGACCAAAUGAUUCCGUCCCCAUCCCAAACAAGAGGAGGAAACCUGCUCCAGCCCAGCUAAACUAUUUGUUAACGGAUGAACAGAUCAUGGAGGAUCUGAGAACAUUAAAUAAGCUUAAGUCACCCAAGAGACCAGCAUCUCCAUCCUCUCCUGAGCACCUGCCUGUGACACCCGUGGAAUCUUCCAGCCCAGAGGUUUGAAGCUCCGAUAGAAGAUGGCAAACUGUGCUAUGACAAAAGAUGGUACCACAAAAGCCAGGCCAUCUAUCUGGAAUCAAAGGACAACCAGAAACUGAGCUGCAUGAUCAGUUCUGUAGGAGCCAGUGAGAUCUGGGUGAGGAAGACAAGUGACAGCAUCAAGAUGAGGAUCUACCUGGGCCAGCUUCAGCCCGGGUUCUUCGUGAUCUGCCAACGCUCAGCUGCUUGACUUUCUGCAGUGCUCUUCUCUUGAUCCUUUUUCUGGAGUGGGUUUUAUUUUUGUUUUGUUUUGUUUUCUUCUUAAUGGAAAAAUGUUAACUUACUGGGAAUAGCUACUCAGCCUUGGAAAUGGAGAGCACUGUCGUGGAUUCCUUAAGGCACUUUUGUGGCCGGCCACUUGGAACUUUGUCAGUCUUUUCUGCCUCAACUUCUUCCAGACAUCAGUUACCAUGUGACUGUUUUACUUUCAGGAGUAUUGGGGGUUUGAUUUACUUUCCUUUUAUCUCUUUAUUUUUUGCUUAUACUUGUUUUUGAAAACCUCCUCUGAGUUUGAAGGGACAGCUGUUUUUAUUAAUUAUCUUUAGGUCUCUCUACCAUGGAGAAGAACAGGAAGGGAUACACUCUCCAGUGCAUUUUCAUAUUUUGAAUCUGAUUAGUGGAUCAGGUAGCUACUUUGCCUGUUGAGCCCAAUUCACUAUUUCCCCAGAAGCUUGGGGCAGAGGUCCCAGCAGGAGAUGAAUUCUCCUGGCUCUCAGCCUUCUGGGAGAAAUAAAUGCUUUGUGUAACAUCUGGCGCCCGCCAUCCAUUCCACUGGCUGAGCGAUGGAAAACCUUGCCUGGGAGACUCUGUGCACUGAAGCAAAUGGGUUUGGGGAGGGGACAUUUCAUAUUUAUAAUGUGUUGAAGAUACUAUAUUUUAAAUAUUAUUUAAUGCAGGUGAUUUAUUCAAA